GACGAACGCUGGCGGCGUGCUUAACACAUGCAAGUCGAACGGAAAGGCCCUGCUUUUGUGGGGUGCUCGAGUGGCGAACGGGUGAGUAACACGUGAGUAACCUGCCCUUGACUUUGGGAUAACUUCAGGAAACUGGGGCUAAUACCGGAUAGGAGCUCCUGCUGCAUGGUGGGGGUUGGAAAGUUUCGGCGGUUGGGGAUGGACUCGCGGCUUAUCAGCUUGUUGGUGGGGUAGUGGCUUACCAAGGCUUUGACGGGUAGCCGGCCUGUGAGGGUGACCGGCCACAUUGGGACUGAGAUACGGCCCAGACUCCUACGGGAGGCAGCAGUGGGGAAUAUUGCACAAUGGGCGGAAGCCUGAUGCAGCAACGCCGCGUGCGGGAUGGCGGCCUUCGGGUUGUAAACCGCUUUCGCCUGUGACGAAGCGUGAGUGACGGUAAUGGGUAAAGAAGCACCGGCUAACUACGUG
RNAcentral lists this ribosomal RNA (468 nucleotides) under uncultured bacterium. RNAcentral's name for it is "partial 16S ribosomal RNA". It matches the Rfam family "Bacterial small subunit ribosomal RNA", at positions 28 to 507 of the family's 1533-position model. The record is from RNAcentral.